RNAcentral lists this ribosomal RNA (460 nucleotides) under uncultured bacterium. Its description in RNAcentral is "partial 16S ribosomal RNA". It matches the Rfam family "Bacterial small subunit ribosomal RNA", at positions 338 to 795 of the family's 1533-position model. The record is from RNAcentral.
CCUACGGGAGGCUGCAGUGAGGAAUAUUGGUCAAUGGGCGCGAGCCUGAACCAGCCAAGUAGCGUGAAGGAUGACUGCCCUACGGGUUGUAAACUUCUUUUAUAAAGGAAUAAAGUGAGGCACGUGUGCCUUUUUGCAUGUACUUUAUGAAUAAGGAUCGGCUAACUCCGUGCCCGCAGCCGCGGUAAUACGGAGGAUGCUAGCGUUAUCCGGAUUUAGUGGGUUUAAAGGGAUCUUAGGUGGGUUGUUAAGUCAGGUGUGAAAGUUUGCGGCUCAACCGUAAUAUUGCAAUUGAUACUGGCAGCCUUGAGUACAGUAGAGGUAGGCGGAAUUCGUGGUGUAGCGGUGAAAUGCUUAGAUAUCACGAAGAACUCCGAUUGCGAAGGCAGUUUACUAAGCUGCCACUGACAUUGAUGCUCGAAAGUGUGGGUAUCAAACAGGAUUAGAUACCCCUGUAGUC